Molecule: non-coding RNA, 22 nt
Filed under: Rattus norvegicus (Norway rat)
Lineage: Eukaryota; Metazoa; Chordata; Mammalia; Rodentia; Muridae
Source: RNAcentral
UGUAUGAUAUUCCUAGGGUGUA